UCAGUUAUCGCUUAGCAUUAUUAUAAAACUAUGUCACUUUUAUUGCCUCGGUCCGUAUUGGUGCAAUAAAUUACUCUACAGUUUAAAUAAUUGUUUAGACUAGAACCGAUCGUCAAACAAGUAUUUUUCAGUGAUUCAAUAUGUGCAUCAUCGAACGCAAGCGAUGUGUGAGGUGUUUUCUAAUCUAAAGGAGAGUUACUAUCUAGCAGUAACUAUACAUGAGAUUCACCAUGCCACCAAUACUAGAACACAUUUUAAAAAACCUGACCAGAAGAAAGAAGGUAGACUGCAACAAACUUAAGUUUGGGAAUAUGACUCAUACCACGAAGAUGCGCAAAGAAUCGUGUUUAGUAAUGUUACCAUAGAAACAGCCUGUGUUAUGCUUGCUGUGUCGUAGUUUUAGAAGUUAAUGCUUACUAUUGUUAUGAAAACCGGUUAACCCAUUAAAGAUGUCGCCACAUCUUUCAGAAUCUCUUGUAUGCAAGAGUAAGCAGUGUUAAUGACUGUCUUAAUUUGAAUACGGAUAUAGCAGCUCUUCAGAAUUGGUCGAUACUAACGGAAUAAGUUUGAAUAUAGAUUUUAAUCAUUGUUAUACUCAAAGUUUCGAGUUUUCCUGAAUUUAAAUCUUUUACUUAUACAAAAGCAUUUAGGAGACAUGCUGCACCUUUUAGGAACUACACCUCUUUGCAUUACAUUGCGUUGCGAAACCAUUUUAUUUUAUACAGUAUACCUCUAUUUUUCGUAAUGUUCUAAUAUAGUUAUUUAAUGUUAUUUUUAAAUAAACCAUUUGCAACUA
This is a long non-coding RNA of Diabrotica virgifera virgifera (western corn rootworm), 796 nucleotides long. RefSeq lists it as uncharacterized. The record is from RefSeq and is a predicted model, not a curated record. Lineage: Eukaryota; Metazoa; Arthropoda; Insecta; Coleoptera; Chrysomelidae. The transcript has 5 exons.